RNAcentral lists this transfer RNA (74 nucleotides) under Pseudomonas phage vB_PsyM_KIL1. It matches the Rfam family "tRNA". Rfam says of the family: Transfer RNA (tRNA) molecules are approximately 80 nucleotides in length. Their secondary structure includes four short double-helical elements and three loops (D, anti-codon, and T loops). The record is from Rfam by way of RNAcentral. Lineage: Duplodnaviria; Heunggongvirae; Uroviricota; Caudoviricetes; Vandenendeviridae.
UGGCCUUUAGCAUAAUUGGUUAAUGCAAUCAACUCAUAAUUGAUAAGAUACGAGUUCAAGUCUCGUGGGGCCAA